UGUAAGUAUUUAAAUCUGCUUCAGUCGCAGGAAACAAUCGCUGUGUGUUGAGCACACUUUUUAGAUGGAUGCUGAGGCUUUUUAGGUCGGGUAGAAUCUGCGAUCUAUGAACGAGUUUGUUCGCUGGCUUCCAUUGUUGCAAUUCGCUGCAUGUGUUUUCCGCCAACUGGCAACCCAGGGUGGCAAAAUACUAUUGGGUAAUUUAGCAACGUGUGGUCUUGCACAGACAGAAACAAAAACAGAAAUUCUGACACGGAACACACAUUUCUAAGUAAAAUAACUGGCUGUAGCAAUGGUUUUCAGAGAAACGAGCAUGUGAGCUGAUCAUGUUUAAUAAAUAUCUACAAACAUAUGGUAUUUUUCUGCUUUAGUACAGUCAAAAACUUACAUAGAGCCCCUUUAAAUCAAACAAUAUUUUGAAUUUGGACUGCAGUACCCAUUUCAACCACUAGCUGUCAUUCUUACAUAGAGCACCUUUAAAAAUAUUUUAAUAUUCAAAACUGUUACCCAAUCAUAGCAGUGGCCAUUUAAUUCCAAGUCUGCAAUGUCUGCAAAGUCUGGGAGUGUUUGAAAGACAAGGCUAUAAACAGGAUAGAAAAAAAUGCAGUUCAUAACCCCCCUAAAUAUUUGCGGCCCCUUUAAGAAGAAUGACCGCGCGUACUGAGGAUGCGCAGAAGAUAGAGUGGCUGAAUGGAGCAGCGCAUUCAAUAGAGGCUGUAGCUCUGUCGGAAGAAAGAAAAUAGAUAUUCUGUUGCUACUUACCUGAGCGAUCAUAACCGAAACCAAAGCAACUGUCUUUAUAUUAUAUAUGGUGAUUUUGUCAGGCAGGGUCUCUAUUAUAAAUCAGGAUUUUAUUGCAAAGCAGCUUGGAAGUGACUACAUGAAUGGGUCGCGUUUCUGUCACUUAUUUCAUAUUCGUCCCGCUGUCUGACAACCGAAACAGAAAAAUAAAGAGAUGAUGAAAACAAGUUAAUCUGGAAGGGGCGCGACGUAAUGUCGUCAUUGAUGUGCUAAUUAGCAUGACAUUAUCUUAGCGACAUUUUGAAUGUGCUUUAGCUGCUUUUCAUUGAAAAUAGUAGGCAACAGUGACUAAAACAGAAGAGAGAAAUGAGACGAGCGCUUAAACUUUUUUCCAAAUGAAGCUGAAAGCGCUGUUAAUGAUCGCGAAUGAAGGACAAAUGUGGAAUAUUUUCGUCUGAUGCGGUAUAUUUAUUUCCAGUGUAACGUACAGAUCUGGUGUCUCUCCCACAACAAUUCACCAAUAAAUAAUGUGAAUAUUCACAUCAUCCUACAAGAGAAGGACAAACUCCAGGAGUAGCAGCUGAAAUCUGUGUGACUGUUAAAGAUGGACUUUAUUAAAGAGGAGAUUGAAGACAUGAGUGAUCCAGAACCAUCCAGAAUAAAACAUGAAGAAACUGAGGAACAAAUAGAUCAGACGGAAGUGAAGGAGCAAAGAAAAGAACUGGAGGAAAUUAAGGAGGAACAUCAUAACUUAAGAAUUCAAGAAACAAAAGCCAAAAAGCUGCACACCUGCACUCAGUGUGGAAAGAGUUUCACACUAAAAGGAAAUCUUAAUAGACACAUGAGAGUUCACACUGGAGAGAAACCGUAUACAUGCACUCGGUGUGAAAGGAGUUUUUCUCAAGCAUCAAGUCUGAAUAAACAUCUGCUCCAUCACUCUGGAGAAAAACGAUUCAACUGUGAUCAAUGCGGUAAAGAUUUUAUUUCGUCAUCAGAUCUAAAACGCCACCUGAAAGUUCAUUUAGAUGAGAAGCCUUAUGUGUGUUCUUUCUGUGGAAAGAGUUUUUCAUGGCUGAGCAGUUUAAAACAGCACCAGAAAACACAUAAUGAAGUGAAAGAUCAUGUGUGUUGUGACUGUGGGAAGAGCUUUACUACAUCUGGUGAACUGAAACGACACCAAAGAAUUCAUACUGGAGAAAAACCUUACAAGUGCUCAUAUUGUGACAAGAGUUUCACUCGGUUGGGAUCACUAAAAUCACAUGAGCGACUUCAUACUGGAGUGAGGCCGUACCACUGUAUUACGUGUGGAGAGAGUUUUAGAUAUUCAAAAAGCUUUCUCAGGCACAUGAAGAAAUAUCAUACAUCGUCACAGUGAGCAACAUUUCAUUUUUUAAGUUAAAUACAGUAAAGUAAAUGAUGUGAGAUUAACAAAAUCAAUGAUUUGGUCCCAAAAGCUUAUUUUAUACAAACCCUUUUGUUCAUAUACAUCUAAUUUGAUGUUAUCAUCUUCAGUCUGGUACAGAUGAUUGAAGUGUGUCCUCACUUUUUUCCUCCCUCUUUACUUUUUUCCCCAAUUUCUUUUAUGCUUUUUCCUUUGUUACUUCCCCUCCUAACCCCUAGACGGGUAGAGGGACGGGUAAAUUAAUGCCAUGUGAGGCCAAGUUUAGUUAUAAAGUUAUAAGUUCAUCUAUUUAUUAAAAAUUAAUAUUUCUAGAAUUACAUAUUCUACAAACACUCUAUAUAAGUAAUUAUAUAAAGUAUAAAUAUCAAAUUCUUCAGUCAAGGCAAUAUCAGCAAUGGAGGCAACGUCAGCGCUGGUUAUGGUGACCUUCUACAGAUGCAAAGCAGCCUCUGCUGUUCUCUUUAUCUUCCAGCCUUUAAUUGACAAUCUGAACUCUUGAAGUCAUCUUCUUUGGAAUUCCACUCCUAUGAGUUCCAUGAAUCUUCUCAGGAUUCGUCUGUUGCUUCUGGAUUCUUCUCCUUUUCUAUGUCCUGCGCCUCAUCUUCAAGACAUUCAACGAUCUGGUCCUGUGAGUGUCAGUAUCACACAGUGAUCACAGUUCACACCUGCAGUGAAGCUCCUCCCACAACAAUUCACCAAUAAAUACUGGGAAUAUUCACAUCAUCCUACAAGAGAAGGACAAACUCCAGGUGUAGCAGCUGAAAUCUGUGACUGUUAAAGAUGGAGUUCAUUAAAGAGGAGAUUGAAGACAUGAGUGAUCCAGAACCAUCCAGAAUAAAACAUGAAGAUACUGAGGAACAAAUAGAUCAGAUGGAAAUGAAAGAGCAAAGAAAAGAAGUGGUGGAAAUUAAGGAGGAACAUCAGAACUUAAGAAUUCAAGGAACAAAAGCCAAAAAGCUGCACACCUGCUCUCAGUGUGGAAAGAGUUUCACACUAAAAGGAAACCUUAACGUACACAUGAGAAUUCACACUGGAGAGAAGCCAUUUAACUGUGAUCAGUGUGGUAAAGAUUUUAAUUUAUCAUCAACUCUAAAACAACACCUGAAAGUUCAUUCAGAUGAGAGGCCUUAUGUGUGUUCUCUCUGUGGAAAGAGUUUUUCACGGCUGGAACAUUGUAAAUUGCACCAGAAAACACAUGAUGGAGUGAAAGAUCAUGUGUGUUCUGACUGUGGGAAGAGCUUUACUACAGCUGAGAAUAUGAAGCAACAUCAAAGAAUUCAUACUGGAGAAAAACCUUACAAGUGCUCAUAUUGUGACAAGAGUUUCAUUCAGUCUCCACACCUGAAAUCACAUGAGCGAGUUCAUACUGGAGAGAAGCCUUACCAUUGUACUCAGUGUGAGAAGAGUUUCAAAGAUGCAACAGGUUUAAAAUAUCAUCUGCGCAUUCACUCUGGAGAAAAGCUUUUUAUCUGUGAUCAGUGUGGUAAAGAUUUUAAUUCAUCAGCACAUCUAAAAGAACACCUGAGAAUUCAUUCAGAUGAGAGGUCUUAUGUGUGUCCUUUCUGUGGAAAGAGUUUUUCACGGCUGAACAGUUUUAAACGGCACCAGAAAACACAUAAAGAAGUGAGAGAUCAUGUGUGUUGUGACUGUGGGAAGAGCUUUACUACAGCUGAGUCUCUGAAACGGCACCAAAGAAUUCAUACUGGAGUAAAACCUUACAAGUGCUCAUACUGUGAGAAGAGUUACACUGACUCAGGAUCCCUGAAAUCACAUGAGCGAGUUCAUACUGGAGAGAAGCCGUACCACUGUACUCAGUGUGGAGAGAGUUUUAGACAUUCAAUAAGCCUUGUCAGACACAUGAAGAAAUAUCAUAAGUUGUCGCAGUGAGCAUCAUGAUUGGAUCGUUAUUGCAGUGAUUAUCUGCUAAAUGACUAAAUGUAAAUAGGCAAAUGCUUAAGAGUAUAUGAUUGGAUAUGAUUAUGAUUAUGAUUAUUAUGUUUCUAGCAUGUUGUUUGUUUGGCAACAGUUCUUCUAAGCCUAAUUGAUGGUGUAGCUUUUCAUUUCUUAAACAACCAUGUAGGAAGACAAAUCAUGGCUAUAUUCCAGGAUUCCUCAGGCUCAAAUUGUGAAAGAAUGGUUGGGAGGGAGCUUUGAGAAUCAUUUCCACUUUUGAAUUGGCACCUCUGAGUCCAGACCUUAAAUCCCAAAGACUUCCAGGCCUGGAAUGGAAGUCUUUGGGAUGUGCUGGACUAGACUUUACAGAGUGCUGGACUCUUGCAUUGUAAAUACAAGUUCUUGACCAAAAAUUAGCCCCGUUUCCACCGCAGGAACUUUACCCAGGAACUAGGGACUUUGGGCUGGUACUCGGUGUGUUUCCACUGCAGGAACCAGGAACUAAAUAAAGUUCCGGGUAAAAUUUCCCCCUCAGAAAAGUCCCUGAUAGCGAGGUGGUACUUUUUCAAAGUUCAGGAACUUUCGGGGGUGGGACUAGGCGCUGAACAUGCUGAUUGGUCGGAUUCACGCCGCAUUUGAUUGGUCGACUCCACGCAGCAAUAAGUCGGUUAUGCAAGCUUGGGAUUGUGCACACUGGAAAACAAUGCCGAGAGAAGUUGAAAAAACUAAAGCAAGAUUACAAGAAAAUAAAGGAUCACAACAAUAGAAGUGGUUCCGAUCGGCGUACUAACAAGUGGUUUGACCGCCUGGAUGCGUUGCUAGGACACAGACCGUCCUUUUCUGGUUCAGCGGUGACAAAAGACUUUGCUACUGCAUUGUUGGAAGCCAUGCCGGAAUCCGAUGAACAGUGGGUUGAAGAUCUGGUCCUGUGAGUGUCAGUAUCACACAGUGAUCACAGUUCACACCUGCAGUGAAGCUCAUCCCACAACAAUUCACCAAUAAAUACUGGGAAAAUUCACAUCAUCCUACAAGAGAAGGACAAACUCCAGGUGUAGCAGCUGAAAUCUGUGUGACUGUUAAAGAUGGAGUUUAUUAAAGAGGAGAUUGAAGACAUGAGUAUUUUAGAACCAUCCAGAGUAAAACAUGAAGAAACUGAGGAACAAAUAGAUCAGAUGGAAAUGAAAGAGCAAAGAAAAGAACUGGAGGAAAUUAAGGAGGAACAUCAAAACUUUAAAACUACAGGAACAAAAGCCAAAAAGCUGCACACCUGCACUCAGUGUGGAAAGAGUUUCAGACAAAAAGGAACCCUGAAUGUACAUGUGAGAAUUCACACUGGAGAGAAACCAUUUAACUGUGAUCAGUGUGGUAGAAAGUUCAUUGCAUCAUCACAUUUAAAAAAACACCUGAGUGUUCAUUCAGAUGAGAAGGCUCAUUCGUGUUCUUUGUGUGGAAAGAGUUUUUCAAGGCUCGAUCAAUGUAAACAGCACCAGAAAACACAUGAUGGAGUGAAAGAUCAUGUGUGUUUGGACUGUGGGAAGAGCUUUACUACAGCUGACAAUAUGAAGCAACAUCAAAGAAUUCAUACUGGAGAAAAACCUUACAAGUGCUCAUAUUGUGACAAGAGUUUCACUCAGUCUGGACACCUGAAAUCACAUGAGCGAGUUCAUACUGGAGAGAAGCCGUACCACUGUGCUCAGUGUGAGAAGAGUUUCAAAGAUGCAUCAGGUUUAAAAUGUCAUCUGCGCAUUCACUCUGGAGAAAAGCUUUUCAACUGUGAUCAGUGUGGUAAAGAUUUUAAUUCAUCAGCAAAUCUAAAACAACACUUGAAAAUACAUUCAGAUGAGAAGCCUUAUGUGUGUUCUCUCUGUGGAAAGAGUUUUUCACGGGUGACCAGUCUUAAACUGCACCAGAAAACACAUGAUGGAGUGAAAGAUCAUAUGUGUUUGGACUGUGGGAAGAGCUUUUCUACAGCUGAGGCUCUGAAACUGCAUCAAAGAAUUCAUACUGGAGAAAGACCUUACAAGUGCUCAUAUUGUGACAAGAGUUUUACUCGAUCUGGACAUCUGAAAUCACACAAGCAAGCGAAGCCAAACUGCUUUACUCAGUGUGAGAAGAGUUUUAAACAUUCAAAAAGCCUUCCCAGGAACAUGAAGAAAUAUCAUAAGUUGUCACAGUGAGAUACAUUUAAUUUCCCUGUCAACUACAGUAAAGUAAAUGUUGUGAGAUGAACUGAAUAUAGAGUUGCUCUCAAAAGCACAAUAUCAUCUAUGCCAUUCUUCUUCUGAUGUAACGAGUACAUCUGAUGUUAUGAAGUGUAUGCCAGGUUAAAGAGAUGUGUUUUUAGUCUAGAUUUAAACGGACAGAGUGUGCCUGCUUCCCGGCAAUGCUAGGAAGAUUGUUCCAGAGUUUAGGUGCCAAAUUGGAGAAGGAUCUACCUCCUGCGGUUGAUUUUGAUAUUCUAGGUAUUGUCAGCUGGCCUGAAUUCUGAGAUUGCAAUAGACGUGAAGGACUGUAAUGCAUUAAGAGCUUGCUCAGGUAAUGGGGAGCUAAACCAUUUAGUGCUUUGUAAUUAAUUAGCAAGAUUUUAAAAUCUAUACAAUAUAUUUAACAGGGAGCCAAUGAGGGUCCAACAUAUGCACAUAAUCUUCAGGAAUUUUGACACUUUUCUGUUCUUGCUCUUCUUCAUUUGCCUGUUAAUGCCUCGCUCUUCAUAGCUCUGCUGCUGCCAUGUUUAUACCUGGCCCCACCUUGACGAAAUGAUUGACAGAGUGGGGCGGGGACAUGAUUGGCUCAGAAUGCAUUUUUAAAUCCAUACUGAAUUUUCAUUGCGGGACAUUUAAAGAAAAUGCAAUCCCAGGUGAAAAAAAGCACACUUCUAUAAUAUACCUAAAGUGCUCUAUUUUCUAUUAUUUCUAUUACUUCUCUAUUUAUCCCUUUUUAUAUAACAUGAAUAAUACGUUGAGACGAUUGCCGUGUUAACUCACUUUGUUUACUGGGAACUCAAGACUUCUUUUGUUACUCAAACACAACAAACAGCGGCUCGAACUAGGAUGCCCUCUAGUGCAUAGAAACAUUAAGUGCAUAUAUCACACUUAAUAUACUAAAAAUUCUUUUUUAGUACUACUUAAGAUAAUCUUAAGAACAUCUAAGUGUACUCAACUGUGCUAUUUUGAGACAGCAUGAAAUAUGAAUUUAAAUGUGCUUUUAAUAUACUAUCUCUGUAU
Molecule: RNA transcript, 7260 nt
Organism: Megalobrama amblycephala (Wuchang bream)
Lineage: Eukaryota; Metazoa; Chordata; Actinopteri; Cypriniformes; Xenocyprididae
Gene name: zinc finger protein 501-like
Exons: 8
Source: RefSeq, a predicted model, not a curated record